UAAGGUCACGGCAAGACGAGCCGUUUAUCACUACGAACGAUAGGUGCUAGGUGGAGGUGCAGUAAUGUAUGCAGCUGAGGCAUCCUAACAGACCGAGAGGUUUGAACUUUGUUUCUGCAAAACUUGAUCAAAUUGAUCAGGCAAUGCCACCCCUAUUAUUUGAUUGCGUGACAGCAUCAGUCUCGAAACUACUUUCCCUUAGCUUAGGGGUCUGAAAUGGAAUUUCGUACUGCUUCUCCAUCCUUCGGAUGGACGGAGAAGCAGUACGAGAGAUUGUUCG
This 280-nucleotide ribosomal RNA is filed under the name Adiantum reniforme var. sinense. Its description in RNAcentral is "4.5S ribosomal RNA". The record is from RNAcentral. Lineage: Eukaryota; Viridiplantae; Streptophyta; Polypodiopsida; Polypodiales; Pteridaceae.